RNAcentral lists this ribosomal RNA (1285 nucleotides) under Bacillus subtilis. Its description in RNAcentral is "bacterial SSU rRNA". It matches the Rfam family "Bacterial small subunit ribosomal RNA", at positions 95 to 1362 of the family's 1533-position model. The record is from RNAcentral. Lineage: Bacteria; Bacillati; Bacillota; Bacilli; Caryophanales; Bacillaceae.
GCGGCGGACGGGUGAGUAACACGUGGGUAACCUGCCUGUAAGACUGGGAUAACUCCGGGAAACCGGGGCUAAUACCGGAUGGUUGUUUGAACCGCAUGGUUCAAACAUAAAAGGUGGCUUCGGCUACCACUUACAGAUGGACCCGCGGCGCAUUAGCUAGUUGGUGAGGUAACGGCUCACCAAGGCGACGAUGCGUAGCCGACCUGAGAGGGUGAUCGGCCACACUGGGGACUGAGACACGGCCCCAGACUCCUACGGGAGGCAGCAGUAGGGAAUCUUCCGCAAUGGACGAAAGUCUGACGGAGCAACGCCGCGUGAGUGAUGAAGGUUUUCGGAUCGUAAAGCUCUGUUGUUAGGGAAGAACAAGUACCGUUCGAAUAGGGCGGUACCUUGACGGUACCUAACCAGAAAGCCACGGCUAACUACGUGCCAGCAGCCGCGGUAAUACGUAGGUGGCAAGCGUUGUCCGGAAUUAUUGGGCGUAAAGGGCUCGCAGGCGGUUUCUUAAGUCUGAUGUGAAAGCCCCCGGCUCAACCGGGGAGGGUCAUUGGAAACUGGGGAACUUGAGUGCAGAAGAGGAGAGUGGAAUUCCACGUGUAGCGGUGAAAUGCGUAGAGAUGUGGAGGAACACCAGUGGCGAAGGCGACUCUCUGGUCUGUAACUGACGCUGAGGAGCGAAAGCGUGGGGAGCGAACAGGAUUAGAUACCCUGGUAGUCCACGCCGUAAACGAUGAGUGCUAAGUGUUAGGGGGUUUCCGCCCCUUAGUGCUGCAGCUAACGCAUUAAGCACUCCGCCUGGGGAGUACGGUCGCAAGACUGAAACUCAAAGGAAUUGACGGGGGCCCGCACAAGCGGUGGAGCAUGUGGUUUAAUUCGAAGCAACGCGAAGAACCUUACCAGGUCUUGACAUCCUCUGACAAUCCUAGAGAUAGGACGUCCCCUUCGGGGGCAGAGUGACAGGUGGUGCAUGGGUUGUCGUCAGCUCGUGUCGUGAGAUGUUGGGUUAAGUCCCGCAACGAGCGCAACCCUUGAUCUUAGUUGCCAGCAUUCAGUUGGGCACUCUAAGGUGACUGCCGGUGACAAACCGGAGGAAGGUGGGGGAUGACGUCAAAUCAUCAUGCCCCUUAUGACCUGGGCUACACACGUGCUACAAUGGACAGAACAAAGGGCAGCGAAACCGCGAGGUUAAGCCAAUCCCACAAAUCUGUUCUCAGUUCGGAUCGCAGUCUGCAACUCGACUGCGUGAAGCUGGAAUCGCUAGUAAUCGCGGAUCAGCAUGCCGCGG